ACAGUGGUGGUUCAGUGGUAGAAUUCUUCUCUUCCAUGAGGGAGACCCAGGUUUGAUUCUUGGCAAAUGUA
Molecule: transfer RNA, 71 nt
Filed under: Loxodonta africana (African savanna elephant)
Lineage: Eukaryota; Metazoa; Chordata; Mammalia; Proboscidea; Elephantidae
Rfam family: tRNA
About the family: Transfer RNA (tRNA) molecules are approximately 80 nucleotides in length. Their secondary structure includes four short double-helical elements and three loops (D, anti-codon, and T loops).
Source: Rfam by way of RNAcentral